AACGCGAAGAACCUUACCUGGGCUCGAACGGCUUCGGACAAUCCUUGGAAACAGGGACUUCCCGCAAGGGACUGGAGUCGAGGUGCUGCAUGGCUGUCGUCAGCUCGUGUCGUGAGAUGUUGGGUUAAGUCCCGCAACGAGCGCAACCCUUGUCCUGUGUUGGCAUGCCGCAAGGCGCAACUCUCAGGAGACCGCCAGCGAUAAGCUGGAGGAAGGUGGGGAUGACGUCAAGUCAUCAUGGCCUUUAUGUCCAGGGCCACACACGUGCUACAAUGGGCGGUACAAAGCGCUGCCAACCCGCGAGGGGGAGCUAAUCGCCAAAAACCGUCCUCAGUUCGGAUUGCAGGCUGCAACUCGCCUGCAUGAAGCUGGAAUCGCUAGUAAUGCUAUAUCAGAACGAUAGCGUGAAUACGUUCCCGGGCCUUGUACACACCGACUGUAC
RNAcentral lists this ribosomal RNA (442 nucleotides) under uncultured bacterium. RNAcentral describes it as "bacterial SSU rRNA". It matches the Rfam family "Bacterial small subunit ribosomal RNA", at positions 958 to 1399 of the family's 1533-position model. The record is from RNAcentral.